RNAcentral lists this long non-coding RNA (1886 nucleotides) under Helianthus annuus (common sunflower). Its description in RNAcentral is "hypothetical non coding rna". Lineage: Eukaryota; Viridiplantae; Streptophyta; Magnoliopsida; Asterales; Asteraceae. The record is from RNAcentral.
AUGUGUCGCUAUUUGAUCUUGAAAAUUGGGAAGUGUGGAAGUUUCUAAUGGUGUUUCUUGUUUACUAUAAAAUGCAUGAAGAAGACCAACGAAAUAGUAGAAACGUUUCUUCUUGGAUCAAUUUAAUAAUUUAUGUUGGGUCAUAGCACAGUUGCAUUUUCUCUUGAUUUCCUUGAAGAGGGUUAAGGCCCAAGCUUCACAACAAAAGGAAAAAAAAAAAAAAAAAAAAAACAAUGGUCAACAGUGUUUGAUUUGUAUUGAGUUAACUUUUAGAAACUAAAUUAAAGUAAUAAAUCUUGUUUAACAACUUAAUUUUUUUUCCUUCAACAAAAAGACCAACUGGUCUGCUUAUGUACAAAAAUUGUUUUAUGAUUUUACUCAUAAGAAAAUCUAAAUGAUUUAAAAAAACACUCGAAUGGAUUAUUUUAGUUAGGGAUUGGUAUAAAAGUGUGAUGUGUAGCCAAUAAACUGAAUUGACUGUUCGGAUGCUAUAAAGAUAUGGAUUUGGCUAAACAAGUAGUUUUAUAAGUAUAAUCUCAUAAGUCAAAUAACACAAAAAAAUAUUUAUACAUUUGGAAAGUGUGAAUACUCAUAAUAAAUUAUGCACGAAAACUUCAUGUUAUUUGAUUGAACUAACAUGUGAAGAUUUCUAUACCACAAGUUAUGGUUCGUAAAUUGUGGCACGUGUAAAAUUCAGCCAAUCAACUAGGAUCCCUGUAUAGAAAACACUACUAUAUAGUAUAUUGUAUAGAAAUUGAUCGUCAAAUGUCAUGGUUAUAGGAUUUUUAAAUACUAUAAAACUCAGAAAACUUAUAUUUACCAAUUAACAUAAGAAAACAUUUAUAUAUAUAAUAUAUGGAACGUGUAAAUACUCAUAAUUAAAUUGCACGAACAUUUAACUGAUGAACUAAAAUGUGAGAUUUCUAUAUGCCAAGUUAUGGUUCAUUAAUGAACUAACACGUGUUAGAAACUCAACCAUUCGAUUAGGAUCUCUAUAUAGAAAACAUUAGUGUGUUGUAUGAAAAUGAUAGUAAAAUGUUACGGUUAUAUGAUGUGUGAAAGGUAAAGAGCUAACAACUGAUAGAGUAAAGGACUUACAUAGAAGAGGACUAACAGUUCCCAAUGAGAAAAAAAGUUUAAGGUUAGGGUUGAAAUACAUGCUCCCGUGUCAUGUUAGAUAUUUAAUAAUUGUUCAUACCUAAAAAAAUUCAAAUAAUAAAGAUAUGAAUGUUUAUAGAACUUAAUUGAUUGUAUAUAUGCUUAUAGAUUUUUGUAAGCCACUAAUGUUAUCAGCACAAAGCAAGGCAUAAGUCGGGCAAAGAAAGUUUCCACGUUCAGGCAAAAUAAGUUUCCACGUUUGGGUAAAGUACGCCCCUGUGUUUGGCCAAAGCAAGUCCCCGUGCCGCUUAUGUGGCAAAACAUAAAACAUUAUAAAGGUUAUGAUUGCUUUAUUAUGAUAAUUGUCCGUUUUAAAUAAAUACAAUUGGCAUGCUAUUUUGAAAGUGGAAACUUUGUGUACGAUUAAAACUAUAGACUUGCCAACGUAAGAUGACCUCAAGAGUGUACGUGACCUCUAGGAGCAAGGGUAAGGAUUUGAAACAUUAGAGGCAUCGAGAGGCUUUUCUAAAGAGAAAAGUUUAAGAGAUUUCCUUUAUAGUUAAAGUUAAACUCACUUGUUUUAAGAGGUAACUUUCUAGUGAAAAUUAGCGACAGAUGUAUAGAGUCUUGUGUGAUAGUAUUAGCUUACUGGAGUUAGGAGAUAACUUUCUAUUGGACUACUGUGAGACCUAAAUAUUUUAAGAACUAAAAAGUGAGAUUUACAUUGUAGCAAGCUGUGCAAGUUGAGGAGGAUAUGUGCCUAUGUGAACAUGUGAAGGACUAGAUUU